UGGGGAAUAUUGCGCAAUGGGGGGAACCCUGACGCAGCCAUGCCGCGUGAAUGAAGAAGGCCUUAGGGUUGUAAAGUUCUUUCGGUAUUGAGGAAGGUUGAUGUGUUAAUAGCACAUCAAAUUGACGUUAAAUACAGAAGAAGCACCGGCUAACUCCGUGCCAGCAGCCGCGGUAAUACGGAGGGUGCGAGCGUUAAUCGGAAUAACUGGGCGUAAAGGGCACGCAGGCGGUUAUUUAAGUGAGGUGUGAAAGCCCCGGGCUUAACCUGGGAAUUGCAUUUCAGACUGGGUAACUAGAGUACUUUAGGGAGGGGUAGAAUUCCACGUGUAGCGGUGAAAUGCGUAGAGAUGUGGAGGAAUACCGAAGGCGAAGCNNGCCCCUUGGGAAUGUACUGACGCUCAUGUGCGAAAGNNNGGGGGAGCAAACAGGAUUAGAUACCCUGGUAGUCCACGCUGUAAACGCUGUCGAUUUGGGGGUUGGGGUUUAACUCUGGCGCCCGUAGCUAACGUGAUAAAUCGACCGCCUGGGGAGUACGGCCGCAAGUUA
This 547-nucleotide ribosomal RNA is filed under the name uncultured bacterium. RNAcentral's name for it is "bacterial SSU rRNA". It matches the Rfam family "Bacterial small subunit ribosomal RNA", at positions 355 to 896 of the family's 1533-position model. The record is from RNAcentral.